CGAGUGAAGCGGCAACAGCUCAAAUUUGAAAUCUGGCCCCCCCCGGGGGCCCGAGUUGUAAUUUGCAGAGGAUGCUUUUGGCGAGGCGCCUUCCGAGUUCCCUGGAACGGGACGCCGCAGAGGGUGAGAGCCCCGUCUGGUCGGACGCCAAGCCAGUGUAAAGCUCCUUCGACGAGUCGAGUAGUUUGGGAAUGCUGCUCUAAAUGGGAGGUAUAUGUCUUCUAAAGCUAAAUAUUGGCCAGAGACCGAUAGCGCACAAGUAGAGUGAUCGAAAGAUGAAAAGCACUUUGAAAAGAGGGUUAAACAGUACGUGAAAUUGUUGAAAGGGAAGCGCUCGUGACCAGACUCGGGCCCGGCGGAUCAUCCGGCGUUCUCGCCGGUGCGCUCCGCCGGGCCCGGGCCAGCAUCAGCUCGCCGCGGGGGACAAAGGCUUCGGGAACGUGGCUCCCACGGGAGUGUUAUAGCCCGCUGCGCAAUGCCCCGGGGCGGGCUGAGGUUCGCGCUCCGCAAGGAUGCUGGCGUAAUGGUCACCAGCGACCCGUCUUGAAACACGGACCAAGGAGUCGUCUUCGUAUGCGAGUGUUCGGGUGUGAAACCCCUACGCGUAAUGAAAGUGAACGCAGGUGAGAGCCUCGGCGCAUCAUCGACCGAUCCUGAUGUUCUCGGAUGGAUUUGAGUAAGAGCAUACGGGGCCGGACCCGAAAGAAGGUGAACUAUGCCUGUGUAGGGUGAAGCCAGAGGAAACUCUGGUGGAGGCUCGCAGCGGUUCUGACGUGCAAAUCGAUC
RNAcentral lists this ribosomal RNA (786 nucleotides) under Purpureocillium atypicola. Its description in RNAcentral is "eukaryotic LSU rRNA". It matches the Rfam family "Eukaryotic large subunit ribosomal RNA", at positions 90 to 903 of the family's 3401-position model. Lineage: Eukaryota; Fungi; Ascomycota; Sordariomycetes; Hypocreales; Ophiocordycipitaceae. The record is from RNAcentral.